GAGUUUGCUCCUGGCUCAGAACGUACGCUGGCGGCACGCCUAACACAUGCAAGUCGAACGAAGUAGCAAUACUUAGUGGCAGACGGGUGAGUAACAUGUAGGUAUCUGCCCUUUGGCCUGGAAUAACACGAGGAAACUUGUGCUAAUACCGGAUAAGUCUUUACGGAGAAAGCUUUAUGCACCAUUGGAUGAGCCUGCACUUGAUUAGUUUGUUGGUGGGGUAAUGGCCUACCAAGACUGUGAUCAAUAGCUGAUUUGAGAGGAUGAUCAGCCACAUUGGGACUGAGACACGGCCCAAACUCCUACGGGAGGCAGCAGUGGGGAAUCUUGCACAAUGGAGGAAACUCUGAUGCAGCGAUGCCGCGUGAGUGAAGAAGGCCUUUGGGUUGUAAAGCUCUUUCGUCGGGGAAGAAAAUGACUGUACCCGAAUAAGAAGGUCCGGCUAACUUCGUGCCAGCAGCCGCGGUAAUACGAAGGGACCUAGCGUAGUUCGGAAUUACUGGGCUUAAAGAGUUCGUAGGUGGUUGAAAAAGUUGGUGGUGAAAUCCCAGAGCUUAACUCUGGAACUGCCAUCAAAACUUUUCAGCUAGAGUAUGAUAGAGGAAAGCAGAAUUUCUAGUGUAGAGGUGAAAUUCGUAGAUAUUAGAAAGAAUACCAAUUGCGAAGGCAGCUUUCUGGAUCAUUACUGACACUGAGGAACGAAAGCAUGGGUAGCGAAGAGGAUUAGAUACCCUCGUAGUCCAUGCCGUAAACGAUGUGUGUUAGACGUUGGAAAUUUAUUUUCAGUGUCGCAGCGAAAGCGAUAAACACACCGCCUGGGGAGUACGACCGCAAGGUUAAAACUCAAAUGAAUUGACGGGGACCCGCACAAGUAGUGGAGCAUGUGGUUUAAUUCGAAGAUACGCGCAGAACCUUACCAACACUUGACAUGUUCGUCGCGACUUUAAGAGAUUAAAGUUUUCGGUUCGGCCGGACGAAACACAGGUGCUGCAUGGCUGUCGUCAGCUCGUGUCGUGAGAUGUUGGGUUAAGUCCCGCAACGAGCGCAACCCUCACUUUUAGUUGCCAUCAUUAAGUUGGGCACUCUGAAAGAACUGCCAGUGAUAAGCUGGAGGAAGGUGGGGAUGACGUCAAGUCCUCAUGGCCCUUACGUGUUGGGCUACACACGUGCUACAAUGGUAUCUACAACAGGAAGCAAGACGGCGACGUUAAGCAAAUCCUUAAAAGAUACCUCAGUUCGGAUUGCACUCUGCAACUCGAGUGCAUGAAGCUGGAAUUACUAGUAAUCGUGGAUCAGCGUGCCACGGUGAAUGCGUUCCCGGGUCUUGUACACACCGCCCGUCACACCAUGGGAGUUGGUUCUACCUUAAGGCAAGGCAUAAAACCCUUGACCACGGUAUAGUCAGCGACUGGGGUGAAGUCGUAACAAGGUA
RNAcentral lists this ribosomal RNA (1432 nucleotides) under uncultured Pelagibacterales bacterium. RNAcentral describes it as "bacterial SSU rRNA". It matches the Rfam family "Bacterial small subunit ribosomal RNA". Lineage: Bacteria; Pseudomonadati; Pseudomonadota; Alphaproteobacteria; Candidatus Pelagibacterales. The record is from RNAcentral.